This 996-nucleotide long non-coding RNA is filed under the name Gallus gallus (chicken). RNAcentral's name for it is "long non-coding RNA NONGGAT008359". Lineage: Eukaryota; Metazoa; Chordata; Aves; Galliformes; Phasianidae. The record is from RNAcentral.
GGAUAGAUUUCUUCUUCUGAGUAUAUACAAUCCCCACGGUAGUUAAUUACAAGUAGUAACCUCCAAGAGCCUGAUGGGUACGCUGUGGCACUAUGUGUUAUGCCUGCGCCGCCAAGGAGGACCAUUACUGCCCACAGCACAGGGAUGAUCUGGAGUACACAAAUGGAUGCCAGAACUGAGAAUUGAAUGCUCCCUGCCGAUGUGAGACCAGGACACCUUGUGACCAUGGGACAGCCACUGUCAACCCCACCAGGGAAAACAUCAGCACAGAAAAUAAGGAGAUGUCACACUCAGUGUGGGGAGUGGGCGUUCUUCUGUGAGCUCCCCACCACCACAUGAACUGACUGCAAAGGAGAAGGAAUUCAAGGACAGAAAGGUUCCUCCCCAGGAAUCGCACAUCUGCUGGGUUAAGUCUGAAUUUUGAUAUCUACAUCUUCAGACACAUUGACCUGUGGUCUCAGCUGUGACAGAAAACGGAGACCUGGUGACAUGCUGCUGAAGUCUCCAAUAACACAUCAUGCCUGCAGUACCUGCUGAAAACCCACCGAAAGGCAGCAGGAAGAGUGGGGGGGAAUUCAGCCUCAUCCCAGUCUCAGCUGUGAAACAAGCAGGGUGCUCACACGUGUGUGCUUUGCUCCCAUCCGCAAUGAGAAGACAACCCUGCCUGUCCCAGCACACAGCUCCGUGUAUGUAUGGAGAGAACACUAAGCAAAGCCAUGAACAAGGCUUCCCCGAGCAGUACUGGUGGCUCAGCGGCUGUGCUGCUACAAGUUUGAUGACAGUUGUCAGUGACCGUCGUGCCUGAGUGGGCCAGCUGAAGGUGCAGGGAGGACACGCUGAAGGCAUUGACAAGGCAGCACAGAAGUGAAUCUGACCUGACUGUCCACGUGGAGUUUGGCACCUGCACUGACAUUCAACCUCCCCCAACCUCUGUCUCAGUGAAAUCAAGAGACAUCCUGGUUCCUUUCCUCCCCAGCAUGCACCCUGGCAAUGGAG